Molecule: ribosomal RNA, 1399 nt
Filed under: Nannophryne variegata (Patagonian toad)
Lineage: Eukaryota; Metazoa; Chordata; Amphibia; Anura; Bufonidae
Description: partial 16S ribosomal RNA
Rfam family: Bacterial large subunit ribosomal RNA
Source: RNAcentral
GCUAAAAACCUAGCCCCAACAAACAGAAUUUAUAAAAUCAAUUAACUUAUAAAAACAAACCAUUUUAGCAUUUUAGUAAAGGCGAUUAAAAAACUUCUUGGAGCUAUAAAAAUAGUACCGCAAGGGAAAGGUGAAAUAUUUAAUGAAAAUCCCUCAAGCAAUAAAAAGUAAAGAUUACCCCUUGUACCUUUUGCAUCAUGGUUUAACUAGUUUAACCAAGCAAAGCGUAUUCAAGUUUGACUCCCCGAAACUAAGUGAGCUACUUCAGGGCAGCUGAGAGAGCACACCCGUCUCUGUAGCAAAAGAGUGGGAAGACCCUAAAGUAGCGGUGACAGACCUAACGAACUUAGUGAUAGCUGGUUGCUCAAGAAGCGGAUUUAAGUCCAACCUGAAGCAUAAACUAGUCCAACAAAACAAUAAACUAGCUUCAGCGCAAUUCAAAUAAGGUACAGCCUAUUUGAAGCAGGAUACAACCUAAACUAAUGGAUAAGAUCAGCUUUAACCACAACCAAGUAGGCCUAAGAGCAGCCAUCUUUAAAAUAGCGUCAAAGCUUAAUUGUAUCAAAGCACAAUUUUUAUAUUUUAAUCUAAUCCUUCAUCUGUAUUGAGCAAUUCUAUAGCUCUAUAGAAAUUUUUAUGUUAAAACUAGUAACAAGAAGAAGACACUUCUCUUUAAUGUACAUGUAAAUCAGAAAGGACAAUCCGCUGAUAUUUAACGUCACUGAACCAAAAGUAGAAACCAAUCAAGAAAACCCUACUCCCACCAACGUUAACCUAACACAAGAACAUUACAAGAAAGAUUUAAAGAAAAAGAAGGAACUCGGCAAACUUUAACCUCGCCUGUUUACCAAAAACAUCGCCUCUUGACUACUUAUAAGAGGUCCAGCCUGCCCAGUGACCAUGUUCAACGGCCGCGGUAUCCUAACCGUGCGAAGGUAGCGUAAUCACUUGUUCUUUAAAUGAGGACUAGUAUGAAUGGCACCACGAGGGUUAUACUGUCUCCUUUUUCUAAUCAGUGAACCUAAUCUUUCCGUGAAGAAGCGGGGAUUAAACUAUAAGACGAGAAGACCCUAUGGAGCUUUAAACAACAUAGCACCUGCUAUUCAUCAUUUAAAUUUCAGAAUUUCCACUUCUACUAGCACUUUGACUAUAAGUUUUAGGUUGGGGUGACCGCGGAGCAAAGUAUAACCUCCCUGUUGAAAGAAUUUUAUUCUAAGCCAAGAGCCACGCCUCUAAGCAUCAACAAAUUGACAUCAAUUGACCCAAUAUAUUUGAGCAACGAACCAAGUUACCCUAGGGAUAACAGCGCAAUCCACUUCAAGAGCUCCUAUCGACAAGUGGGUUUACGACCUCGAUGUUGGAUCAGGGUAUCCCAGUGGUGCAGCCGCUACUAAAGGUU